Molecule: ribosomal RNA, 513 nt
Filed under: uncultured bacterium
Lineage: Bacteria
Description: partial 16S ribosomal RNA
Rfam family: Bacterial small subunit ribosomal RNA
Source: RNAcentral
GAUGAACGCUGGCGGCGUGCCUAAUACAUGCAAGUCGAGCGAACGGAUAAGGAGCUUGCUCCUUUGAAGUUAGCGGCGGACGGGUGAGUAACACGUGGGUAACCUACCUAUAAGACUGGAAUAACUUCGGGAAACCGGAGCUAAUGCCGGAUAACAUAUAGAACCGCAUGGUUCUAUAGUGAAAGAUGGUUUUGCUAUCACUUAUAGAUGGACCCGCGCCGUAUUAGCUAGUUGGUAAGGUAAUGGCCUACCAAGGCGACGAUACGUAGCCGACCUGAGAGGGUGAUCGGCCACACUGGAACUGAGACACGGUCCAGACUCCUACGGGAGGCAGCAGUAGGGAAUCUUCCGCAAUGGGCGAAAGCCUGACGGAGCAACGCCGCGUGAGUGAUGAAGGUUUUCGGAUCGUAAAACUCUGUUAUUAGGGAAGAACAAAUGCGUAAGUAACUGUGCGCAUCUUGACGGUACCUAAUCAGAAAGCCACGGCUAACUACGUGCCAGCAGCCGCCGUAA